UCCAACUACUAGCAGCACUUCCUCUUCUUCUUUCUGCACCACCACCAAAUCGACGAUAAUAUCCUAACCCUCCGUCUCCUUUUUCCCCAUCACCAACAACAACACCUCCUCCUUUUACUCAACGAAUAUAAAAUACAGAUUGAGUAUGCGAAUUAGGGAAAAGAAGGAAUUGAUCAUCGAGGAGGACGAAUUGUUGAAAGGCUUGAUGAAUGAACAGGGUGAGGAAGAAUAUAUUGCAGUUGUUCAUGCACUUGUGGAACUCAAUGAUUUUAAAUGCAGUUGCGUCUUAGAACGAAGUUAGUGCAAGGAUAUUGCUUCAAAAAUAAUGUUAUUUUCACAGCAGGGCCCAAGAGCUGUCUGCAUUCUCUCAGCUAACGGGGUUGUGUCCACAGUGACACUUCAGCAGCCUGCAUCUUCUGGUGGCUCAGUCACAUAUGAGGUUUGCUUUUAACAGAACCAAAGUUUUUUUUUUGUACUCUGGAUUCAAUAUAG
This is a long non-coding RNA of Papaver somniferum (opium poppy), 492 nucleotides long. RefSeq lists it as uncharacterized. The record is from RefSeq and is a predicted model, not a curated record. Lineage: Eukaryota; Viridiplantae; Streptophyta; Magnoliopsida; Ranunculales; Papaveraceae. The transcript is spliced from 3 exons.